Molecule: long non-coding RNA, 298 nt
Organism: Nematolebias whitei (Rio pearlfish)
Lineage: Eukaryota; Metazoa; Chordata; Actinopteri; Cyprinodontiformes; Rivulidae
Exons: 2
Source: RefSeq, a predicted model, not a curated record
GAUCCAACGGGCUUCCGUACCGAGUUAGACAAUCGCUGAUAGCUGCUGCUCACAGUUUUUCGCGAACAGUUUUCAGUCACACUAUGGCAUCGCCUGCAAUGAUCACCGUCCCGACCACCGCCUCCCGGUUUGCUCUGCUCCAGAUAGACUCCGAUUCGGAGUCGGAUACCUCCGAGCCGGGGAAGUCAACCACCAAAGCCGGAAAAGAGGCUUCCGGGAAGCAUCGACAAGGAAAAGCAGGAGCAGCAGCUGGGGGGAAGGCUGCCCAGGGCAACGACAAGAAGAAAGACAAGAAGAA